RNAcentral lists this unclassified non-coding RNA (628 nucleotides) under Moraxella sp. RNAcentral describes it as "partial contains 16S ribosomal RNA, 16S-23S ribosomal RNA intergenic spacer, and 23S ribosomal RNA". The stretch from base 200 to 272 matches the Rfam family "tRNA". The record is from RNAcentral. Lineage: Bacteria; Pseudomonadati; Pseudomonadota; Gammaproteobacteria; Moraxellales; Moraxellaceae.
UUGUGAAGUCGGAACAAGGUAGCCGUAGGGGAACCUGCGGCUGGAUCACCUCCUUAACGAUAUUAUCUAAUUGGCAAGAAUUCACAACAAGUUGUUCUUUGGUAAGAUGUUUAAAACGGGUCUAUAGCUCAGUUGGUUAGAGCACCGUGUUGAUAACGCGGGGGUCAUAAGUUCAAGUCUUAUUAGACCCACCAUUUAUGGGGCCAUAGCUCAGUUGGUAGAGCGCCUGCCUUGCACGCAGGAGGUCAGGAGUUCGACUCUCCUUGGCUCCACCAAACAAACAUUGGAUCCUUAAAAAGCAUACAUAAGCAAUUUAAAUAAGAUUACUUAUUUAUGCUUUAACUUAUAAACCGAUGAGGUUUAUAUCAUUAUUUAACAACAUGAUUAUGAGUCUGGGUAAUUUAUUUAAUUCCAACAAAUAAAUUACCAUGGUAAGUACACCCCAAAAUGUACUUACCUAAAGUAAAGAGAACUGAAUCAAGCGUAAACAUAGGUGAAUCGUUACACAUUACCCAUACAUUAAAGACCCUUUGGGGUUGUAUGGUCAAGUAAUGAAGUGCACAUGGUGGAUGCCUUGGCAGUCAGAGGCGAUGAAAGACGUGAUAGCCUGCGAUAAGCGUCGGUAACA